This 73-nucleotide transfer RNA is filed under the name Propioniciclava tarda. It matches the Rfam family "tRNA". Rfam says of the family: Transfer RNA (tRNA) molecules are approximately 80 nucleotides in length. Their secondary structure includes four short double-helical elements and three loops (D, anti-codon, and T loops). Lineage: Bacteria; Bacillati; Actinomycetota; Actinomycetes; Propionibacteriales; Propionibacteriaceae. The record is from Rfam by way of RNAcentral.
CGGGGCGUAGCGUAGCGGCCAGCGCGCUGCUUUUGGGUGGCAGAGAUCGCGGGUUCGAGUCCCGCCGCCCCGA